UGAAGCGGCAAUAGCUCAAAUUUGAAAUCUGGCGUCUUCGACCUCCGAGUUGUUAUUUGAAGAGGAUGCUUCUGAGUGGCCUGCGACCUAAGUUCCUUGGAACAGGACGUCAUAGAGGGUGAUAAUCCCGGAUGCGGGCGAAAAGGCCCUNUAUACGUAUCCCCUUCGACGAGUCGAGUUGUUUGGGAAUGCCUCUCUAAAUGGGAGGAAAUUUUCUUCUAAAGCAAAAUAUUGGCCAGAGACCGAUAGCGCACAAGUAGAGUGAUCAAAAGAUGAAAAGCUUUUUGAAAAGAGAGUUAAAAAGCACGUGAAUUUGUUAAAAGGGAAGGGAGUGCAACCAGACUUGCUCGCGGUGCUCCGCCGGUCUUCUGACCGGUCUACUCGUCGCGUUGCAGGCCAUCAUCUUCUGGGGCCGCUGGAUAAGACUUGANGAAUGUAGCUCCCUCGGGAGUGUUAUAGCCUCUUGUGAUGCAGCGAGCGCCGGGCGAGGUCCGCGCUUCGGCUANGAUGCUGGNGUAAUGGUCGUAAUCCGCCCGUCUUGAAACAC
This 547-nucleotide ribosomal RNA is filed under the name Cladosporium macrocarpum. Its description in RNAcentral is "eukaryotic LSU rRNA". It matches the Rfam family "Eukaryotic large subunit ribosomal RNA", at positions 94 to 662 of the family's 3401-position model. The record is from RNAcentral. Lineage: Eukaryota; Fungi; Ascomycota; Dothideomycetes; Cladosporiales; Cladosporiaceae.